CUGAUAGAGUACCGGGGAAAAGCAUUUAUGGAUUUGGGGCUUGUAGCGGGGUGGUCACCCGCUCCUGCCCUGAAGGGCUUGAAAUCAGCCCCGGGGACAGGGCUGAGGCUGCAUGAGGGCUGCUGCUAGGGAGAGAAGCAAGCCUUGGCUGAUUGGGGAAACAGCCACAGCUGUGGCCAUGCCCCAAUCAGACCAUAGCUGGCCCUAUAACGGCCAGUGAAGCCAGGUGCUGAGAGGAUUCUCCCUCUAGCUCUUGAGGGAGAAGGGCCUGGCUGCCUGGGAGCUGAGCUGGUGGGGGAAAGGCUAAAGGAGCUGGGGUGCUUCAGCUGGCAGAACCCCUAGGCUGCAGGCCUUGAUAAAGGCCAAAACAGAAGAAAGAGAGCCAGCUCUCCAUGCAUCACCGACUGGGAACAUCUGUUGCAGCAGUUUCUGUGGCUGCUGAAUUAUAAACCAAGAUGGCUGGACACGGACAGAGAGCUUCACUGCUGAAUCAUGAACCGGCAAUGCUAUUCUUUGUCAUCAUAAUGCCUGAUCUAGUUUGAAACUCAAUAUCCUGCAGCAGUGAGUUCACAGAUUAAUUAUGCAUUCUGUCUAUCCGCUUUAUAUUACCUGGCUGUGCUUUGAUUUCGGGUCCGAUCUGCAGUAUCCGGCUGGGUAGGAGAAAAUGAAACACAGCGUGGCUGAGAAAGGAAGGGAUAAUAAAUACAUGCUAUGGAAAUACCUUGAUAA
Long non-coding RNA from Mauremys mutica (yellowpond turtle), 729 nucleotides. RefSeq lists it as uncharacterized. Lineage: Eukaryota; Metazoa; Chordata; Testudines; Geoemydidae. The record is from RefSeq and is a predicted model, not a curated record. The transcript has 3 exons.